RNAcentral lists this non-coding RNA (45 nucleotides) under Echinostoma caproni. The record is from RNAcentral. Lineage: Eukaryota; Metazoa; Platyhelminthes; Trematoda; Plagiorchiida; Echinostomatidae.
GCACUGAUGAUAAGUCUCAAACAGGACGAAACAGCUGUCCAGUGC